UUCGGCGCGGUCUGCGAGUCGGGCGUGAAACGGGGUUCCAGAGGUUGAUCCCCGCCCCUGCCGCCGCUUGCCCCGCGCUGCAGUUUCUCGGGGACGAGAAUAGCGGCGUGAAGAAGGCCGGUUCGUCUGAUUGGCGACGAUGAGAUGAGAUGGGUGUAAAGUGCUCAACAUAGUGUCUAGAGCAUAAUGUUCUUCCCAGUCAGCAGUUACCAGUAUGACAAAGGAAAAGCUGUCUGACCUCAAAGAAAGUGUAGCAGAAGAUUUUUAAAAAGGAAGGCUUUGCUCCAAAUGAACAAAGUUUCCCAGAAGAAAAAACAAUCUAAAAAGCUUCUCCACCACCUGUCCUGGUUUACAUGAGAUUCUGAGGGCAACAGGAAACUCCAGCAAGGGGCCACCUGCCUUGUGAAAAUGUCACUCCUUACGUCUCCUAGAUGGGAAGCCUGGGCCAUCCAGGCUCUGGCACCAAGCCUUCUGUGUCCGUCCUCGUGGCAGGCACAUUCAGGCUGAAUCUGAAAGUGGGCAAAAUCAGUAGAAGAACAGAGCUGACAGGAGCUGAUUCCUCAAUAAAAGGAUUACUG
Long non-coding RNA from Mustela erminea (ermine), 578 nucleotides. RefSeq lists it as uncharacterized. The transcript is spliced from 4 exons. The record is from RefSeq and is a predicted model, not a curated record. Lineage: Eukaryota; Metazoa; Chordata; Mammalia; Carnivora; Mustelidae.